CUCGCCCAGCAGCUCUCUCUCCUCCCGUGGGCGCCCUGCAGAGAGGAACGAGUUACAGAGGGUAGAAAACUGCAGACAGCCGGUGAAGAACCGCGGGGCCCAGUCACUGGGACAAAUGUCCCAGGAGCAGGAAAUGCAGGGCGUUGGGGUGCGUGGAGACCAGCUGGAUCACGAGCUCUGUGUGGCUCUGGUGAUGGGGGUCGGUUUGGCUUUAGGGUGGUGAGUCCAGUUGAUUUCCCUGAUUUCCUCCUCUGCUCUGCCCUGACAUCCUCUCAGCCAGCUGGAGAGCCUCUUCCUUUCUCAUCCUUGCUCUUGGGGGGUCAUUUGCAGCUCUUUGGAAUUCAGAACAGCUCUCCCCCCUACCCUCCUCCCCCACACUUGUAGGAAAAUUUCUGUCUCUCUCUGGCACUGGUGUGGCGAGUGCACCGUUCUCUGCCUCAGCCGUCUGGCUUUCAACAGCAAACCUUCCAGUUUCCCAGUUGUCCCCCCCACAUCUCUCAUCCUCUCCUGACUCUAUCUCACACCCUCCUGCGGCUCAGGCAGCAAAUUCCUGCCCCUUUCCAGUCUCUGCCUGUGGGCCUUUGAAUCUAGCACUUCCCCCUCCCUGUCUGUGCCGACAGAGAUUGAUCACGGUCAUUGCUCAGCCCACACCACCAUCACAUGCCCGUGCUACAAUGCAAUUCAAAAAGGGCUAUUCUGACAAAGGGCCAUUUGGCUGGCAAUUUCCUCCCUCCCUCCCUGCUGCAUCCUGCCAACGGGCACAUCAAAGCAGAUGACCCCACAGCCUUCAGGAACAGAGGGAAACCAACGGGCAUGGAGAGGAAAGAAUAGAAAGGAAGGGCCGCCGAGACCCAAGUGGGACAUCAAAGCUAAUGAAGUCGGAGCGGGCCUGCGUCACCUCCCACAGCGAUGAGAAGCUCAGAGAACCUGGAAGAGACAUAACCCGGCUCUUGCAGUGACAGAUUUCUUAGCGUGGUGCUCUGUGAGUGCACAGGGAGCAGGGGCAGAAGAGGCUAAGGAAUCGCGUCCCCGUUUCGCUCCAGAGCAUCCCGUCUUACAGAGACAGGGCUGGGAAUGGCUGGGAUGGAGCCAGCUCAGGUGCUGGUGACCUUCGAGGAGGUGGCUGUGUAUUUCACCCAGGGGCAGGGGGCUCUGCUGGGCCCCGCUCAGAGAGCCCUCUACAGGGAUGUCAUGCGGGAGAACUAUGAGAUGGUGACCUCGCUGGGUAAGAGCUGCUCAGGAUUCCCUGUUCCAAAGCCUGACCUGGUCACCCGGCUGGAACGAGGGGAAGAGCUGUGGGUCCCGGAUUGCCAAGCUAGUGAGGAAGGAGGCAUCUGCAGAGGUGA
Molecule: non-coding RNA, 1346 nt
Organism: Pelodiscus sinensis (Chinese soft-shelled turtle)
Lineage: Eukaryota; Metazoa; Chordata; Testudines; Trionychidae
Source: RefSeq, a predicted model, not a curated record